RNAcentral lists this ribosomal RNA (268 nucleotides) under uncultured bacterium. RNAcentral describes it as "partial 16S ribosomal RNA". It matches the Rfam family "Bacterial small subunit ribosomal RNA", at positions 524 to 791 of the family's 1533-position model. The record is from RNAcentral.
UACGAAGGGGGCUAGCGUUGUUCGGAUUUACUGGGCGUAAAGCGCACGUAGGCGGAUUGGUCAGUUAGAGGUGAAAUCCCGAAGCUCAACUUCGGAACUGCCUUUAAUACUGCCAGUCUAGAGUCCGGAAGAGGUAAGUGGAACUCCUAGUGUAGAGGUGGAAUUCGUAGAUAUUAGGAAGAACACCAGUGGCGAAGGCGGCUUACUGGUCCGGUACUGACGGCUGAGGUGCGAAAGCGUGGGGAGCAACAGGAUUAGAAACCCUUGG